RNAcentral lists this ribosomal RNA (497 nucleotides) under uncultured bacterium. Its description in RNAcentral is "partial 16S ribosomal RNA". It matches the Rfam family "Bacterial small subunit ribosomal RNA", at positions 28 to 507 of the family's 1533-position model. The record is from RNAcentral.
GAUGAACGCUGGCGGCGUGCCUAAUACAUGCAAGUCGAGCGAACAGACGAGGAGCUUGCUCCUCUGACGUUAGCGGCGGACGGGUGAGUAACACGUGGAUAACCUACCUAUAAGACUGGGAUAACUUCGGGAAACCGCAGCUAAUACCGGAUAAUAUAUUGAACCGCAUGGUUCAAUAGUGAAAGACGGUUUUGCUGUCACUUAUAGAUGGAUCCGCGCCGCAUUAGCUAGUUGGUAAGGUAACGGCUUACCAAGGCAACGAUGCGUAGCCGACCUGAGAGGGUGAUCGGCCACACUGGAACUGAGACACGGUCCAGACUCCUACGGGAGGCAGCAGUAGGGAAUCUUCCGCAAUGGGCGAAAGCUUGACGGAGCAACGCCGCGUGAGUGAUGAAGGUCUUCGGAUCGUAAAACUCUGUUAUUAGGGAAGAACAAAUGUGUAAGUAACUAUGCACGUCUUGACGGUACCUAAUCAGAAAGCCACGGCUAACUACGUG